Molecule: ribosomal RNA, 400 nt
Filed under: uncultured Ruminococcus sp.
Lineage: Bacteria; Bacillati; Bacillota; Clostridia; Eubacteriales; Oscillospiraceae
Description: bacterial SSU rRNA
Rfam family: Bacterial small subunit ribosomal RNA
Source: RNAcentral
GGAAUAUUGCACAAUGGGCGCAAGCCUGAUGCAGCGAUGCCGCGUGAGGGAAGAAGGUUUUCGGAUUGUAAACCUCUGUUGACAGGGACGAUAAUGACGGUACCUGUUCAGAAAGCUCCGGCUAACUGCGUGCCAGCAGCCGCGGUAAUACGUAGGGAGCGAGCGUUGUCCGGAAUUACUGGGUGUAAAGGGAGUGCAGGCGGGACUGCAAGUCAGAUGUGAAAUUUAGGGGCUCAACCCCUCAAACUGCAUUUGAAACUGUGGUUCUUGAGUGAAGUAGAGGUAAGCGGAAUUCCUAGUGUAGCGGUGAAAUGCGUAGAUAUUAGGAGGAACAUCAGAGGCGAAGGCGGCUUACUGGGCUUUAACUGACGCUGAGGCUCGAAAGCGUGGGGAGCAAACA